This 494-nucleotide ribosomal RNA is filed under the name uncultured bacterium. RNAcentral's name for it is "partial 16S ribosomal RNA". It matches the Rfam family "Bacterial small subunit ribosomal RNA", at positions 28 to 507 of the family's 1533-position model. The record is from RNAcentral.
GACGAACGCUGGCGGCGUGCUUAACACAUGCAAGUCGAACGGAAAGGCCUGCUUUCCCUUGUGGAUUGCGGGUACUCGAGUGGCGAACGGGUGAGUAACACGUGAGUGAUCUGCCCCCAACUUGGGUAUAAGCCUGGGAAACUGGGUCUAAUUCCCGAUAGGACUGCAGGGUGGUGCCUGUGGUGGAAAACGAUUUUCUAGUGGUUGGGGAUGAGCUCGCGGCCUAUCAGCUUGUUGGUGGGGUAAUGGCCUACCAAGGCGGCGACGGGUAGCCGGCCUGAGAGGGUGGACGGACACAUUGGGACUGAGAGACGGCCCAGACUCCUACGGGAGGCAGCAGUGGGGAAUAUUGCACAAUGGGCGGAAGCCUGAUGCAGCGACGCCGCGUGGGGGAUGACGGCCUUCGGGUUGUAAACUCCUUUCGACCGCGAGGAAGCCACCUGGUUGGAAGGGUGGUGACGGUAGUGGUAGAAGAAGCACCGGCUAACUACAUG